UACGUAGGGGGCUAGCGUUGUCCGGAAUCAUUGGGCGUAAAGAGCGUGUAGGCGGCUCGGUAAGUCCGCUCUGAAAGCCCGGGGCUCAACCCCGGGAGGCGGGCGGAUACUGUCGAGCUAGAGUCCGGAAGAGGCGAGUGGAAUUCCUGGUGUAGUGGUGGAAUGCGUAGAGAUCCGGAGGAACACCAGCGGCGAAGGCGGCAUCCUGGACUGGUCCUGACACUCAUGAGCGAAAGCGUGGGGAGCGAUCCGG
Molecule: ribosomal RNA, 253 nt
Filed under: uncultured bacterium
Lineage: Bacteria
Description: partial 16S ribosomal RNA
Rfam family: Bacterial small subunit ribosomal RNA
Source: RNAcentral